GCUCUUGUAGCUCAGUGGUAGAGCACUCCCUUGGUAAGGGAGAGGUCAAGGGUUCAAAUCCCUUCAAGAGCUCCA
This 75-nucleotide transfer RNA is filed under the name Oligoflexia bacterium. Its description in RNAcentral is "tRNA-Thr". It matches the Rfam family "tRNA". Rfam says of the family: Transfer RNA (tRNA) molecules are approximately 80 nucleotides in length. Lineage: Bacteria; Pseudomonadati; Bdellovibrionota; Oligoflexia. The record is from RNAcentral.